ACAUGCAAGUCGAACGGCAGCGGGGGCUUCGGCCUGCCGGCGAGUGGCGAACGGGUGAGUWAUGCAUCGGAACGUGCCCAUGUCGUGGGGGAUAACGUAUCGAAAGGUACGCUAAUACCGCAUACGUCCUGAGGGAGAAAGCGGGGGACUCGCAAGAGCCUCGCGCGAUUGGAGCGGCCGAUGUCGGAUUAGCUAGUUGGUGAGGUAAAGGCUCACCARGGCGACKAUCCGUAGCGGGUCUGAGAGGAUGAUCCGCCACACUGGGACUGAGACACGGCCCASACUCCUACGGGAGGCAGCAGUGGGGAAUUUUGGACAAUGGGCGCAAGCCUGAUCCAGCCAUGCCGCGUGAGUGAAGAAGGCCUUCGGGUUGUAAAGCUCUUUCGGCCGGGAAGAAAUCGUGUUCUCUAACAUAGGACAUGGAUGACGGUACCGGACUAAGAAGCACCGGCUAACUACGUGCCA
This 465-nucleotide ribosomal RNA is filed under the name Betaproteobacteria bacterium. RNAcentral describes it as "bacterial SSU rRNA". It matches the Rfam family "Bacterial small subunit ribosomal RNA", at positions 53 to 510 of the family's 1533-position model. The record is from RNAcentral. Lineage: Bacteria; Pseudomonadati; Pseudomonadota; Betaproteobacteria.